This 1457-nucleotide ribosomal RNA is filed under the name Escherichia coli. Its description in RNAcentral is "partial 23S ribosomal RNA". It matches the Rfam family "Bacterial large subunit ribosomal RNA", at positions 548 to 1990 of the family's 2925-position model. Lineage: Bacteria; Pseudomonadati; Pseudomonadota; Gammaproteobacteria; Enterobacterales; Enterobacteriaceae. The record is from RNAcentral.
ACCUGAAACCGUGUACGUACAAGCAGUGGGAGCCUCUUAAUGGGGUGACUGCGUACCUUUUGUAUAAUGGGUCAGCGACUUAUAUUCUGUAGCAAGGUUAACCGAAUAGGGGAGCCGAAGGGAAACCGAGUCUUAACUGGGCGUUAAGUUGCAGGGUAUAGACCCGAAACCCGGUGAUCUAGCCAUGGGCAGGUUGAAGGUUGGGUAACACUAACUGGAGGACCGAACCGACUAAUGUUGAAAAAUUAGCGGAUGACUUGUGGCUGGGGGUGAAAGGCCAAUCAAACCGGGAGAUAGCUGGUUCUCCCCGAAAGCUAUUUAGGUAGCGCCUCGUGAAUUCAUCUCCGGGGGUAGAGCACUGUUUCGGCAAGGGGGUCAUCCCGACUUACCAACCCGAUGCAAACUGCGAAUACCGGAGAAUGUUAUCACGGGAGACACACGGCGGGUGCUAACGUCCGUCGUGAAGAGGGAAACAACCCAGACCGCCAGCUAAGGUCCCAAAGUCAUGGUUAAGUGGGAAACGAUGUGGGAAGGCCCAGACAGCCAGGAUGUUGGCUUAGAAGCAGCCAUCAUUUAAAGAAAGCGUAAUAGCUCACUGGUCGAGUCGGCCUGCGCGGAAGAUGUAACGGGGCUAAACCAUGCACCGAAGCUGCGGCAGCGACACUAUGUGUUGUUGGGUAGGGGAGCGUUCUGUAAGCCUGUGAAGGUGGCCUGUGAGGGUUGCUGGAGGUAUCAGAAGUGCGAAUGCUGACAUAAGUAACGAUAAAGCGGGUGAAAAGCCCGCUCGCCGGAAGACCAAGGGUUCCUGUCCAACGUUAAUCGGGGCAGGGUGAGUCGACCCCUAAGGCGAGGCCGAAAGGCGUAGUCGAUGGGAAACAGGUUAAUAUUCCUGUACUUGGUGUUACUGCGAAGGGGGGACGGAGAAGGCUAUGUUGGCCGGGCGACGGUUGUCCCGGUUUAAGCGUGUAGGCUGGUUUUCCAGGCAAAUCCGGAAAAUCAAGGCUGAGGCGUGAUGACGAGGCACUACGGUGCUGAAGCGACAAAUGCCCUGCUUCCAGGAAAAGCCUCUAAGCAUCAGGUAACAUCAAAUCGUACCCCAAACCGACACAGGUGGUCAGGUAGAGAAUACCAAGGCGCUUGAGAGAACUCGGGUGAAGGAACUAGGCAAAAUGGUGCCGUAACUUCGGGAGAAGGCACGCUGAUAUGUAGGUGAAGCGACUUGCUCGUGGAGCUGAAAUCAGUCGAAGAUACCAGCUGGCUGCAACUGUUUAUUAAAAACACAGCACUGUGCAAACACGAAAGUGGACGUAUACGGUGUGACGCCUGCCCGGUGCCGGAAGGUUAAUUGAUGGGGUUAGCGGUAACGCGAAGCUCUUGAUCGAAGCCCCGGUAAACGGCGGCCGUAACUAUAACGGUCCUAAGGUAGCGAAAUUCCUUGUCGGGUAAGUUCCGACCUG